AGGUGACUCCCAGACAGUAUCCUCACAGGAACGAGGGAGCCUGGGAAUCAAGUCCAGGAGGGAAGACUGUGCAGCAGAACCAAUUGCCACAUCAGAUCUGAUGGAAUGGACCAUGGCAUAGUGUUUAGAAAAGCCAAUAAUUCAAGAUGGCUGACAGUGAAGAAGAUUCAGGCACAAGGCAGUGAUGGUAAUACCAGUGGUUGAACCUCUUCCAUUUCUGAAGUGAAAGCACCGGUAUACUGACUGAAAAGCAGGUCAAAGCUACAUCCCUCUUGGGAUGGAAGAAAAUGGAACUGAGGCAUCCACUUGCCAGUUGAUCCCAACUGAUCCCAGCAAGGGCACUUGACAAGCAAAACUUCACAUCCCGAAGUCAGUGAGUCAAAAUAAAAGCUUUUCUGAGUGGAAGCUCAAAGAUUUCACUCAUCCCUCCGUUGUGAAGUACCAAUUUCUUAUGUAUAAUCUGCACUCAUUUUGCAACUGAGAGGUCAGGCAAGCCUCCUUUGAGACUGCCACAAAAUGCUCCAUAACAAACCACUGGAAACUGCAAAGGUAUGAUGCAUGCUAUACCCUACUCCCUCUCCAGGCUGAGUGUGAUACUUGUGUGACCCCCCGCACCAGUCAGAGGAAUAUACGAUAACUUGACCAUUUGCUCUAUAAUUUGUUUG
Long non-coding RNA from Trachemys scripta elegans, 665 nucleotides. RefSeq lists it as uncharacterized. NCBI's taxonomy places the organism in Eukaryota, Metazoa, Chordata, Testudines, Emydidae. The transcript has 4 exons. The record is from RefSeq and is a predicted model, not a curated record.